Taeniopygia guttata (zebra finch) is the source of this 537-nucleotide non-coding RNA. Lineage: Eukaryota; Metazoa; Chordata; Aves; Passeriformes; Estrildidae. The record is from RefSeq and is a predicted model, not a curated record.
CGGAUCCCCGAGUUCGAGGUGUCCGGGCUGUGCCCCAGCAGGACGCAGCGGGAGGCCCUGGGAGGCACGGCCUGGGCCCCAGCGAGUGGGCUGCCCUGGGCAUGAGAGGGAGCGGCUUUAGAGCCAUCAUUAAUUCUUUAGCUGAGGGAUGAGAUAAUGACCUGAUCUUCUCUCUCCAGCUAAAAUUGUCUCUUUUUCUAGCUUAAGGUUGUAUGUAUAUUUUUUUUUCUUUUGUUUGACCUGUAAGUGAAGCCGAACUAGUAAAAUAAUGGUAAUUUUCUUCAAUUUCUCUUUUUGUUUCUACCUUUCCCCCCCCGCCUUCUCUCUAGUCUUGUAGGACCAUCACAGCAGUGUUCCAGAUUUCUGAGGAAGUGAAAUGGAGUUGCACUUAGAGGCAAUAUGGUUUUGACACAUCAGAGAGCAUCAGUGUAAUUGCAAACAGUACUUCUGUUUUUGUUGCCUCUUUAAACUGUUCGCUAAGAUGGUAUGGACUACAACAGAUUGAGAGACUUCAAAUGAAGCAAGCAUAUUCGCUUA